GGGCAUGGCCAUACCACCCUGAAUGCACCCUAUCUCUUCUGAUCUCGGAAGCUAAGCAGGGUCAGGCCUGGUUAGUACUUGGAUGGGAGACUUUUUAAUUCUUAAGCAGUGUUUC
Mesocricetus auratus (golden hamster) is the source of this 115-nucleotide ribosomal RNA. The record is from Ensembl. NCBI's taxonomy places the organism in Eukaryota, Metazoa, Chordata, Mammalia, Rodentia, Cricetidae.